GUCCCCGUAGUUCAACGGAUAGAACGGAGGUUUCCUAAACCUUAAAUGCGGGUUCGAUUCCCGCCGGGGACACCA
Molecule: transfer RNA, 75 nt
Filed under: Verrucomicrobiota bacterium
Lineage: Bacteria; Pseudomonadati; Verrucomicrobiota
Description: tRNA-Arg
Rfam family: tRNA
About the family: Transfer RNA (tRNA) molecules are approximately 80 nucleotides in length. Their secondary structure includes four short double-helical elements and three loops (D, anti-codon, and T loops).
Source: RNAcentral